RNAcentral lists this ribosomal RNA (387 nucleotides) under uncultured bacterium. RNAcentral describes it as "bacterial SSU rRNA". It matches the Rfam family "Bacterial small subunit ribosomal RNA", at positions 30 to 416 of the family's 1533-position model. The record is from RNAcentral.
AUUGAACGCUGGCGGCAUGCCUUACACAUGCAAGUCGAACGGCAGCACGGGGCAACCUGGUGGCGAGUGGCGAACGGGUGAGUAAUGCAUCGGAACGUGCCAUUGAGUGGGGGAGUAACGUAGCGAAAGUUAGCGCUAAUACCGCAUAUUCUGUGAGCAGGAAAGACAGGGACCGCAAGGCCUUGCGCUCUUUGAGCGGCCGAUGUCAGAUUAGCUAGUUGGUGAGGUAACGGCUUACCAAGGCGACGAUCUGUAGCGGGUCUGAGAGGAUGAUCCGCCACACUGGAACUGAGACACGGUCCAGACUCCUACGGGAGGCAGCAGUGGGGAAGUUUUGGACAAUGGGCGCAAGCCUGAUCCAGCCAUGCCGCGUGAGUGAAGAAGGCC